RNAcentral lists this non-coding RNA (561 nucleotides) under Pongo abelii (Sumatran orangutan). Lineage: Eukaryota; Metazoa; Chordata; Mammalia; Primates; Hominidae. The record is from RNAcentral.
UUUAGGAACAUUCUGCAGUGAAGUAGAAGAGACAGGGAUAUCCCAGAAGGUUAUGCAAAACAUCAAGAGAAGAUGAGAGGUACUCUGUGACGUCGAAGGAUAAGAAAGAUGAAGGGAUCAGGAAAAUGAAGAUUUUAGCUUCAUUCAUCUUAACGAGUUAACAGACAUGCUUUUCCCACUCUCCUUCAACACCCACAUAUCAAUUUCAUAUUUGUGGAAAGUUUUCACUUACAACACUCAAUAUAUACCACUUAGAAUUAUGAAAGGAUAUCCUGUAGGGCAGAUCCAUAUGCAGAAGAAUGAAACUAGACCCCUAUCUCUCACCAUACACAAAAAUCAAAUCAAAUGGAUUAAACACUUCCAUCUAAGACCUCUCACUAUGAAACGACUAUGAGUAAACAUUGCAGAAUGUUCGUCUGGGAAAAAAAUUUCUUGCCCCACAAGCACAGGCAACCAAAGUCAAAAUGGACAAAUGGGAUCACAUCAAGUUAAAAAGUUUCUGCACAGCAAAGGAAACUAUCAAUAAAACAUAGGGGCAACCCAAAGAACUGGAAAAAAUAU